CGCGCAAUGCAAACGGUGGUUAGCGUGGUUUAGCGGGAAGGCAGACCUGAGGCCAUAGCGCUGCCGUCGCAAGUUUUCAUCCAAGAUUUACUCCAUACUGGGAAGCGCACAACUAGUGUGUCCAUGAGGCAACCGACAUUAGUGACCGGAGGAGUUCCUUCCUUAAUAUUAAAGCAAUAUUAAAGCAAGUAAGGCUUCUGCCUCGUUUUUUUAAAUCCGUCGUGACAAGUGGGACGUCCCACUUAUCAUAGGGACAGGCAAAGGAAGGAAUCGGCGCUUACGACGGCGGGCGGCGCUCCGUCCUGUUCUUCCCCAGCGGCAGGAGCCGACGGCCGAAGCCGUGGCCGUCAGCUCCUGCAACGGCUGGCUCUCCAUCAUCAGUGUUCCUCCUCUACAGAAGGCUGGAGAUCUCCCGCUCCCCUGCUGCCAUGCCGUCGUGGAGCCGGAAGAUGGUCCCUUCCAACGCCGCUGAAUGCCUGGCGUGGUGGUGCCCUGGACCUGGUGCCCGCUGGCCUACCGCCCCUCGAGAUUGCGGAGCUGAGAACACCCUGAAGCCAGGAGAUGUCAUCCAGUACCGUGAAUGUGGAUACCUCAUCCUCUACUAGAAGCGAACCCGCCGCAAUGGCUUCUUUGAAAUAAUCUGAGGACCCUCCAUCGAUAAACCUAAACGGGACUCACCGGCACAGAUGGUGACAACAUUAGAAAUGGCAGUGGGUCCAUGACAAUUGACAUCGAGCUACCACCAACUACUCACAGAUUCUAAAGAACAUAAGAGUCGGCUAGCAAGAAAGAAAUAGAAAUCAAGCUCUGCUCCACAAAUGGGAGGUGCAAAAUCAAGGUCCUAUUGUAUUUUUUUUUUGUUGCUGAUAUGUGUUUCCUUGGCGGUUGGCAGCGAGGAAAUAAAAAUUCGUAGCUAAGGAUUGCGAUUUACUUGGCAGGCGAGGGCAGCCAAUGAUUGCAAUUUACUUGACGGGUGAGGGCAGCCAAUUAAGGACGGCUGCCAAGAAAACUAAUUUGCUUGGCAGUUAUGUCUAGAUAUAUAAUGAAAAUUAUGAAUCUAGAAAUAUCAAAUCGACCUACGAUUUCGGAUGGAGGGAGUAAUAAUAUAUAUAAAGAUAUUUAUCCCUCUUAAGUCUUAUCUUGUGUAAUAUUCUUGGAAAAAGAAAAGGACAAUUACUGGUGAUCAAACU
Setaria italica (foxtail millet) is the source of this 1190-nucleotide long non-coding RNA. RefSeq lists it as uncharacterized. NCBI's taxonomy places the organism in Eukaryota, Viridiplantae, Streptophyta, Magnoliopsida, Poales, Poaceae. The transcript is spliced from 4 exons. The record is from RefSeq and is a predicted model, not a curated record.